UGUUUCCCUUGAGGCUAGGCCUUCGUCUAUUAGGUGCACAAAACACAUGUUGAAAUGAAUAAUUUAGAAAUACCUGAAAGUAGUUACAUGUCAUCUAAAAUCUUUUCCCAUGACUGUGCCAAAAAAUGGUUUUAGAAAAUCUGAAGUGACUUGAUGUGGGCUGCCUCAAUUAGCAUCCUGUGUUAGAAGAAUGAGGAUUGACAGCAGGAACACGUGAUGCUUUGAAAUUCACCCAGUAGUUCAAGAUAUUAUUAUAAGUUAUCACAAUUAAUUUAUCUUUAUUCUCAAAAUGAAACAAUUAUACAUGUCAGCUCUCUUAGCAUUAUACUCAGCUACUCUGUUCCAGCAAGUUUUAAGAUUUAGAAUUGUUUAUCAAGCAGUAAAUCCUGUGAGGCCUAAUGUUGAGACGGAGUCUUUCUCUGUCGUCCAGGCUGGAGUGCAGUGGCGGGAUCGAGGGAAGAGAGCUAAAUAGGUGAAAUACAGGUAAUAUUUUUAGGGUGGCAAAAGGCUCUUAUAUUGCUGUAUCUAAUGUAACACGGGAUUUUUAGGGCCAUGAAACAGUUGUGAAUGAUAUUGUUAUAAAGAAUACAUGAUGGUAUGUGUUUUGUUAAUACUUAUAGAACUUUACAGCACAGAACUUUACAAUGCAUAAUGUAAACAAAUUAAGUACGAUUAGUAAAUUGGAGGAUUGCAGGAUGGAAUAUAGUCUGUGAAAAAAAAAAAGCAACAAC
Molecule: long non-coding RNA, 731 nt
Filed under: Pan troglodytes (chimpanzee)
Lineage: Eukaryota; Metazoa; Chordata; Mammalia; Primates; Hominidae
Description: long non-coding RNA NONPTRT012196
Source: RNAcentral